This 497-nucleotide ribosomal RNA is filed under the name uncultured bacterium. RNAcentral describes it as "partial 16S ribosomal RNA". It matches the Rfam family "Bacterial small subunit ribosomal RNA", at positions 28 to 507 of the family's 1533-position model. The record is from RNAcentral.
GAUGAACGCUGGCGGCGUGCCUAAUACAUGCAAGUCGAGCGAACGGACGAGAAGCUUGCUUCUCUGGUGUUAGCGGCGGACGGGUGAGUAACACGUGGAUAACCUACCUAUAAGACUGGGAUAACUUCGGGAAACCGUAGCUAAUACCGGAUAAUAUUUUGAACCGCAUGGUUCAAAAGUGAAAGACGGUCUUGCUGUCACUUAUAGAUGGAUCCGCGCUGCAUUAGCUAGUUGGUAAGGUAACGGCUUACCAAGGCAACGAUGCAUAGCCGACCUGAGAGGGUGAUCGGCCACACUGGAACUGAGACACGGUCCAGACUCCUACGGGAGGCAGCAGUAGGGAAUCUUCCGCAAUGGGCGAAAGCCUGACGGAGCAACGCCGCGUGAGUGAUGAAGGUCUUCGGAUCGUAAAACUCUGUUAUUAGGGAAGAACAUAUAUGUAAGUAACUGUGCACAUCUUGACGGUACCUAAUCAGAAAGCCACGGCUAACUACGUG